This 6787-nucleotide long non-coding RNA is filed under the name Sus scrofa (pig). RNAcentral's name for it is "lncRNA (ENSSSCG00000061511.1, ENSSSCG00110039678.1, ENSSSCG00130024044.1)". The record is from RNAcentral. Lineage: Eukaryota; Metazoa; Chordata; Mammalia; Artiodactyla; Suidae.
AUCAUGAAGGAACUUGUAUGGGUGCUAAUAAGGUUCCAUUUCUUGGUUACUCACUGAAUGCAUGCUUGUGGCCUACUCUGUGAAAAUUCUUCGAACCAGGCACUUUUGAAUUGUUAACUUUUCCAUAUGUCUGUUACACUUCAAUAAAUAGUUUACUUUCAGGUAUAGAUGUUCCCCCCUCAUUUUUUUUUUUUAAUCUAGAGUAAUUAAUUUUCUCCAAUUACCAAAUGCAAUUCAGAAACUGGCAGUUUCUUUGCCAGCUCCAUGAAUUUCAACCCACUCCUUGUCAUUCCCACCCCAUAUCCCAUGCUAUAGAUCCUAGAUUUUUCAGUAAAUGUGUGUGCAGGCACAUACAGUUCCAGUCAUGUGUGUGGACUCAUGUUCCAUUUUGCUUUCUUUUCUAAAUGUGAGUUUAGCUUUAUGUAAUAUACAUUUCUGGUACAUUAGGCACUCUGCUGGCAACAUAAUAUGCAUUAUUUCAUUUAAUCCUGAACACUGUCCUAUAAGGCCAUCAUAAUUGUCUACGUUACAGAUGAAGAGACAGAUCCAAAGAGAUUAAAUAACUUGCCCCAAGUCACAGAGCUAAGCAGGUCUCAGGGACCCCAGAGCCCUUGCUCUUUGUCCUAUACUGAAGCCUCCUUCUCCUUCAGCAAGAAGAUAGCAACCUGAGAACUACAUCAUAUUAAAGGAGAAAUUAUAUAGUCCACCUGCUUCCAUUCACAGAUGAGAAAACAGGGAAAAUGACUGGCUCAAGGUCCCAUGUGCUGGCCUUCAUUUCAUGUACUAAGUAUUCACUGUAGGAAGCAUGUAGGAAAGACAAUACACGAGUAGGAACAAAGUUUAAAGAACUGCAGAAGAAUAGACACAGCAUGUGGCUUUGGUAGUAUUCAUUAUAAUUUUACAAUCUAAACUGAAUAUUUUCUGUUUUGUCUUGGGGAUGAACCACAGCUGAACCUUUCUUAUACCCAGAUGAGAUGGUCCUGCUUUGGGCUUUAGAAAAUCCCCCACAUGUCACAAAUAACUAUGCACUUUGAUCUCUUGGAAGUUCUUUGCGUGCUUGUACAACACAACCCAUCAUUCCUAAGCUCCCAUUCUCAUGACUUAACAAUGUUUAGGAUCCCGGAAACUGAUUCUUCAUAUUUUCUUGUCCUUGACUAUGGACAAGGAUGACAGUCUAAAAUGCUGUGAAGGGCUCGUGGUUCCUUCCACUGCUGGGACUGAGGCGGGCACUAUGUCUGAGUGUGGGAAGGACUGCGGCAGCAGAAGCACUCAGAUAAGAGAAAACAAAACUUUUACUACAUGUUAAAUUCUUCUUUCUCUGCGUGAAUGCAAUAGAUUUUGCUUAAAGAAUGAUCCUCGCAGUCCUGAGGGUCUGUUUAUUGUGUAUCCUAAAAAGUGGUUCCAGAGGUACACAUGAGAAUUCACAACAAUAGUUGCACAUGGCGGCUGAGGAAUAUUUUAUGACAUUAAACAACUUCAUAUUACUGUUGAAUUUAGUAUUGCUAUAUAUAUGCUAUAAUUAUUAUAACGCACACACCUAGAUUUGAAAUUUAGGAAGCAAAAUGACAAAUCUUCACACUAACAAUCGGUGGAGACUGGAUUGGCUAAAACUGGAAAUAGUUUUGUUUUUUAGAAAAUUGUUGAAUAAGAUUUAAUUAAGAUUUUCAAAAAGUUAAACAAAAAUUCAGUUUUAUUUAAAUAAUAUUUUAAAUGUUAAUAUUUAGUAAUUAUAUGUAUUUUUGCUUUUAAAUUUUGAGAUAAUUUUCAAUAUUUUAGAUGGAAAAUAAUUUCUGAAUUCAUAAAUACAAAUAGUUCUAAUUAUUUUCAUUUUUGAAGUUAGCUUAAUUUACCUUUCAAGGCAAAUACACAUUUUGUAUACAUUGAAUGUAAUUUUAUUUGUAUUUUAAUCCUUCAUAUCAUUACUGUCAGUUAAGCAUAAAUUUUAUACUUAAAUGCAGGUAAGGACUAUUUAUUUUAUGAAAUGAGAGCAUAAAUUAUGAAUUGUGUAUGUUUUUAUUUUAUUACUCAUCUAAACAUCAUUGGCCAUCAAUAGAACACCCAAAUCUGAGCAAUAAUAAUGAAAUCUAGUCGUUUGCAGUUUUAUUGAUUUUCAGAUGUAUAAAGCUCAAACGAGUUGUUGUGAAAGAAUAUUGGUUAAAUAGAAGUAAAUUUGUUAGAUAGAAAAAAUAUUUUAUUUAGAAGGCUGUAAGCUCGACUUAAAACUAUAAAUAGUGAGACAUAACGUCUAAAUACCUCUAUUUGUAUGCUUGGUUCAGGCCCUGCAGAAGUUAGAGACUGUCUGACCACAGUGUUCCUUCGAGUAGGGUCCACGCGGUCAGCAGAGAGCUUGGGUCUUACCAGAGGGCUCUUCUCAUCCCCUACAGUGUUGAUUGGCUGUCUGGCAGCAUUAAAUCAAUGUUGGUUCAAUUUUUCUCACACUGUAAGUCGUUGCUCAUCUUUAUCCCUCUAAAUCAUAGGUCUGCUAUUAGCAAGAAAUUGCUCUAGUGGCAACUUCACAAUGCCUUUCAUCACAUCCUUUCCUCUUGUAUAUCAGCGAUGUGAAAAAAUGGAUUAAAAUAAGGUGCUUUGUGACUUUAUUACCGGUUUCCUUGAAGCCAAGUUUUCUUCCUCCUCAUCUCUCCCUUCUGUGUUCUUCCUCCAGUACCUUAUAUCCCUCCCCACACCUCCUCCUCCACCUCUCCCUCCUUCAUUUUAGUGAGGAAAGACUUCUCUUGGUAGCCAUAUCACCAAGUCAUUCACUUUUUUCAACUCUCUCUUCUCUUUUUGUCAGUGCCAAUUUUGCUCAAACCUGAAGUGUCACAAAUUUUUUGAACCCGACUUUCUGCCAGAAGUCUUUAAACAGAUCAACCCCUUUUAUUCUCUGAUGUUUUAAAACUCAUUUGCACAAAAGAGAAUUGGAAGGUCUCAGAGGAUAGUGUUCUGACGGUUCUUCAGAUCAACAGCUGUUAUUCCAGUUGACAGCAUUUUAAGUCCAGUAAUGAUGGACGUUCUCCUUUUCAUGUAAAUAUCAUAAGGAUAAAUGAAAAAUCUAGACGUACCAUUAUUGCCAUUUCUACUCAAUUUUUAGAUGAGUCUUACCUCAAUAUUUUAUCCUUCAUUAAUUUUCUAUCUACUUAGUUUGUUCAGCAGGUGGGAAAGAAAUAGGUUUCCUACAUGAAAAGACAAGCUGGUGCUCAUUUGUUGCCAUUUUAUUGACCCCACAUUUCUACCAAUUUCUCUGUGUCGGGUGAGGUGAUUGCCAAGAAAGUCAGUCUAGACUAUAAUUAAAACUAAGAUUUUUUUUCACCCUAUAAAUUUAACAGCUUCUUUCUUUUUCUUUUUCUUUUUUUUUUUUUUUGGCCUUUCUAGAGCUGCACCUGCAGCAUAUGGAGGUGCUCAGACUAGGGGUCAAAUUGGAGCUAUAGCCUCUGGUUUACACCACAGCCAUAGCAAUGCUGGAUCCAAGCCACGUCUUUGACCUAUACCACAGCUCAUAACCUACACCACAGCUCAUGACAAUACUGGGUCUUUAACCCACUGAGUGAGGCCAGGGAUCGAACCUGCGUUCUCAUAGGUACUAGUCAGAUUCGUUUCCGCUGAACUACGACAGGAACACCAACAGUUUAUUUCUUGAAACCAUCCUGUUUCUCCUUAAUAUGGCUCUAGGAAAAUAAACCACAAGUGACACAUUUUUCAUUGUUGUUUCCUUAGGAAUUGUGGCCAUCCUCAGUUGGGGUCUUAGGGUUUAUAGUGGUUCCAGAGCCAGGUUGGGCGAUGGCGGUUGUAUCAGAACGUUUUCAUGGCUGUAACCCCAGUUGAGAAUAAUACAAAUUUAUUUGACAAGAAGUGAAAUAUCUUAGAAAUUUCCCAGGACCCAACUGCCAAAGUCCCCAAGGCAGCCACAUGAGAUCCAUCAUGCCCAUUCUUAUUUACAAUUCAUUGGAAUAACCUAGAAUCUCAAAAGCACUGGGUGCUUUCUCAACAACAAUUUAACUCCUCUAUGAGUUAAAAGUAACCUAAGAUGAGUUUCACAAAGAAGACUUCACAGGAUCCAUUCGAAGUGUGGAGUCAAGCAAGGAAGGAACAAUUGCAAAAUCCUCCAGAGUGUUGUAGUUGUAUUUUUGAGCACUUAGCCACAGACAUAAAGUUAGACAUAUAGUUAGACAUAUAGAUAAUGUAUAUCUUUGUCUUUCCCAUUGGUUUGCAAACCCCUGUUGUUCCCUGUUGUAUUAUGAAGCCAGAGUCCUUAGAAGAUAUUUAGAGAAUGAAGGGUCUGGGGCUGGCCUGUGACAUGAUCUCACUCCCAGUCCUGGCAGUAAAAUUGCUCAGUAAUUGUAUUCUGUAAUUCACUUUCCUUUUGGAAAAUAGUCACAUUUUGUUGUCUUGGAGGGUGUGACAAAGAUUUUGUCACAUGCUUAUUUAACAGAAGCUGAAGGCCCAGAGACUCAGGCUGUGUGAUUUUUAAUUAUGCAGCGCAUGUCUUGUAACUUGACACUUGAUUUUCAGCAAGCCUGGGUACUGCCUUCUUUCAUCCUCCGGAAUAAUAAAAAUAGUAACAGUGAUAGCCACGAAGAAAGUUAAUGAUCCUUGUAAUAUGCUAGACACUGGGUUAAGCUCAGCAUGUGCAUUAUCUUGUUUAGUCCUUCCAGCCACACCAUGAGAUCCCUGUAAUUCUUAUGUCCAUUUUACAGAUGAGGAAGCUGAGAUAGAAAAGCUAAAUAGCUAAUUCAAGGUCUUCCAGCUAGAGAGAGGUGAAAGAGAGAUUUAACCCAAAGGGCCUGCUUCCAGAAUCCAUGUUCUUGGUCUUUAUAAUCUCCUGGAGCAAAUAUAUUAGAUCAUCUAUUAUGAAGCAGUUAAGGAGUUCAAGAAAGACUCCAAGGCAGAUUUUUCUGCCUUUCAAGUCCUUAAUCAUUCUUUCAAACUUUCCAGUUGGCAUGGCUCUCCGCUCAUAAAAAGAUGUUUCACUUACUGCAAUGUGACUGCAGAAGUCUAUGACCGCAGCCAGCACACAGUGGGUAAGAAGGAGUUAAGCGCUGACAGCCCUUCCUGCGCGGGUCUAGCCAGCAGCAGUUCAUCACAAAUAUGGGGCUUUGAUCCUGACAGCUCUCCUUUCACUCAAGGGGAGCAGGGAGGGUUUGACAUGGGGAAGCAGGAAAGACUAUAGAGAAAAGGGUCUUGUUUGUUUCCUGGGUGGAUUGCCUCCUUCUUGGCAUGCCUCCAGGAAGUGAGUCUUUUCCUGCCCUGAAACUUCAGGGAAAUAAAUCUCUCUCCUGUAGAACGGACCUGAGAGAGGCCCCGGGGCAGCCACAUGAGAUCUGUCAGGUCCAAUGACUUGGCUGGCAGGGUGGCCGGUGUGUAGCCUGGCAGGUUGCAGCCCCUGGCUGGGGUGGGGAGGGCAAGGGGUGUCAACAUGACCCAGGGAAGAGAAGGGUGAAUCCAGUGAGGUCUUUGAUCCUGGGGGCCAGCAGCCAGAGCGGGCACCCAUAGAGACUGAACCUCUGGGGGAGGAAGCCUAGGGGAAAGGGCAAUUUUGAACACAUUUAUAGAUGGAAGCCUGAGAGGUAAGCUUGAGGAAUCCUGAGCCCAGGACUCCAGAGGCCAAAGCAAACCUGAGAGAGGAACAGGAAGUGUCAUGGAUACAAGCUCAUGAGAAACAGCUGCAGCAUAAGAUUAAGAGCAGGAGAAGAGGGAACCGCGGGGUGAGGUGAGAGGAGUAGGGUCCCCACAGUGGUUUUUUUGCAGCCCAGGAUCCUUGACACUCAUUCUUGUACUAGUGUGCUGGUUUCUUUCUGUAGAGUUUUCCCCAUGCAGUUUGAACAAGGUGAUUCACUUUCCACCUCUGGUUAAAGCAGGUGAUCCUGUUUGUUACAGUCACGGGUGCAGGGAUGGGGGAGGAUGCACCAGGGCCGGUGAGAAACAGAGACUUUUGUAGGAAGGUAUUCUUCUCCUUGGACUUGAAGUUAAGAAGAAACAAAUGCUGAAGAGAUUGUAUUUACAUUGGGACUGUGAUGGGAGCAGGACUCUGUUUUAAGUUUGAUUAUUAUUCCCACAUUCACCCCCUUCCCCCCACCCCACUUCCAUGAGAGGAGUCAACUCCUUCAGAGCAGUGAUGUCAGGCUUGGCCAUACAACUGCCUUAUGGUGGGCAGCCUUGAAUUUGGGCUCAGCAUGCGACUUGCUUUGGCCAAUGAGAUAUUAACAGGUGUAACACAAGCAGAGGCUUGAAAUGUGCUUGUGCAUUUGUGCUGGCUCUUUGUACUUCUACUGUGGCCAUAGGAAGAAUUUCUCAGGGUGGCCGUUGCCCCCUCAGCCCAGCCUCAAGAUGAUAUCCCCAGCCUGCCUUGAGGAGCCAAGCUUAGCUGGACCCCAUCGAAGCAGGGCCACCAGAAUCUAACCUAACAGAUAUGCAAAGGGAUGACUAGGCCCAGUUGACCUCAGCUGACCCGCAGUUGUGUGAGAAGGAAGCGCUCAUUGUUGAAUGUCUCUGUAUGUUGUGGUUGCUGGUUCAGCAGCAGUGUCGUGAUAAUAGCUAGUCAAUACAGCCUUUUUUCAGAGCAAGGCCAACAUGGUAGUGACAGGGCUAAGAGAUGGAGUGAGAGAACUAGAAUGGGUCCUGGUGACAUCACCCUGAUCAAGUUGUUCUUAGAUCCAGACAAGUCCUUGAACUUUCCAUUCUUUUUUUUUUUUUUAAUUUUUAUUUUUUUGGUGGUGCCUCACAGUGUAUAGGACCCUCCUACAUCAGUAGCUCUUUUUAUUUUUAAACAGCACUGUGGAGGCAUAGAAUGGGA